Molecule: ribosomal RNA, 468 nt
Filed under: uncultured bacterium
Lineage: Bacteria
Description: partial 16S ribosomal RNA
Rfam family: Bacterial small subunit ribosomal RNA
Source: RNAcentral
GACGAACGCUGGCGGCGUGCUUAACACAUGCAAGUCGAACGGAAAGGCCCUGCUUUUGUGGGGUGCUCGAGUGGCGAACGGGUGAGUAACACGUGAGUAACCUACCCUUGACUUUGGGAUAACUUCAGGAAACUGGGGCUAAUACCGGAUAGGAGCUCCUGCUGCAUGGUGGGGGUUGGAAAGUUUCGGCGGUUGGGGAUGGACUCGCGGCUUAUCAGCUUGUUGGUGGGGUAGUGGCUUACCAAGGCUUUGACGGGUAGCCGGCCUGAGAGGGUGACCGGCCACAUUGGGACUGAGAUAAGGCCCAGAAUCCUACGGGAGGCAGCAGUGGGGAAUAUUGCACAAUGGGCGGGAGCCUGAUGCAGCAACGCCGCGUGCGGGAUGACGGGCUUCGGGUUGUAAACCGCUUUCGGCUGUGACGAAGCGUGAGUGACGGUAAUGGGUAAAGAAGCACCGGCUAACUACGUG